CCCGAGCCCCAGCCCGGAGCCGCCGGGGGCCGAGCUGGACCGGGGGCUGGGGCCAGGGGCCGGGGAAACGACGCCCGGCGGCCGUGGCAGAGGCACCUGAGAAAAACAAGAACAUUUCAGUUCUCCAGAACAGGAGAGCACUGAGGCACCAGGUGAUUCACUGCCAUGACUUCAGCUAGGACCGGGACUUCAGACAUCAGGCCUGACCAAAAACCAAAUGCACGGUCCAUGAGCAGCAUGACCUCUUGGGAUGAGGCAAAAGAACUAGUACCAUGUGCAAGUUGAAUCAGGCCCCCAGGGACCUGAACAGCAGGUAUUCCACUGACCCAGAUGUUUGAGCUGACCUUCCUAUUGGCUCAACCCCAUCUUCUCUGGUGUUUGAGAGAGAGCAGACUGAAGCCAUUUGCCAUCACAGAACCUUGGAGGCUGAAAGCCCAAGUCAACUAGUACCAUCCUCAUGCUCACCCUGCCCCCCCCCUUCCCCAAGGAGGAACUGGUAUCAGUUGGAGACCCAGACUGAUUUGGAGAAUCAGAGACAUGGAAGGGGAGAAGGAGCCACUUUCUGGAGAUGGAGAUGUAAAGGGGAAGACCAGCACAGCGGAGGACACAAAGUGCAAGAGUACUCCUGUAUGGUGAGGAUUGAUAUCACUGUGAGCCAUGUGGCCCUAAGGGAAGGUAGAACCUACCUGAGGGUAUUGGCUGAACCGCAGAGCACCCUGCCCCUUACUCCAGCUGAAGUCAGUGUAAGGGCCAGGUUGGCAAAGCUGAGAGCUCUCCUGACUCUUUAUGGGCUCACAAGUAAGUCCUUUGCAUUUGUGUUAAAUAAAGCCUAUUCUACAUUCAA
Molecule: long non-coding RNA, 844 nt
Organism: Phascolarctos cinereus (koala)
Lineage: Eukaryota; Metazoa; Chordata; Mammalia; Diprotodontia; Phascolarctidae
Source: RefSeq, a predicted model, not a curated record